GGACGAACGCUGGCGGCGUGCUUAACACAUGCAAGUCGAACGGUGAACCAGGGCUUGCCCUGGGGAUCAGUGGCGAACGGGUGAGUAACACGUGGGCAACCUGCCCCUGACUCUGGGAUAACUCCUCGAAAGAGGUGCUAAUACCGGAUACGACCACUUCGGGCAUCCGAUGGUGGUGGAAAGAAUUUUGGUCAGGGAUGGGCCCGCGGCCUAUCAGCUUGUUGGUGGGGUAACGGCCCACCAAGGCGACGACGGGUAGCCGGCCUGAGAGGGCGACCGGCCACACUGGGACUGAGACACGGCCCAGACUCCUACGGGAGGCAGCAGUGGGAAAUAUUGCGCAAUGGGCGAAAGCCUGACGCAGCGACGCCGCGUGAGGGACGACGGCCUUCGGGUUGUAAACCUCUUUCAGCAGGGACGAAGCGAAAGUGACGGUACCUGCAGAAGAAGCACCGGCUAACUACGUG
Molecule: ribosomal RNA, 467 nt
Filed under: uncultured bacterium
Lineage: Bacteria
Description: bacterial SSU rRNA
Rfam family: Bacterial small subunit ribosomal RNA
Source: RNAcentral